RNAcentral lists this ribosomal RNA (515 nucleotides) under uncultured bacterium. Its description in RNAcentral is "bacterial SSU rRNA". It matches the Rfam family "Bacterial small subunit ribosomal RNA", at positions 1 to 497 of the family's 1533-position model. The record is from RNAcentral.
UAGAGUUUGAUCAUGGCUCAGAACGAACGCUGGCGGCGUGCCUAACACAUGCAAGUCGUACGAGAAAUCCUGGGCAACUGGGAAAGUAAAGUGGCGCACGGGUGAGUAACGCGUGGGUAACCUACCCUUGGAUUUGGGAUAACUCCGCGAAAGCGGGGUUAAUACCGAAUGAUAUUCCGAUUUCUACGGGGAUUGGAAUCAAAGGUGGCCUCUGCAUGCAAGCUACUGUCUAAGGAUGGGCCCGCGUACCAUUAGCUAGUUGGUAGGGUAAUGGCCUACCAAGGCAACGAUGGUUAGCUGGUCUUAGAGGAUGGCCAGCCACACUGGAACUGAGACACGGUCCAGACUCCUACGGGAGGCAGCAGUGGGGAAUCUUGCGCAAUGGGGGAAACCUUGACGCAGCAACGCCGCGUGGGUGAUGAAGGCCUUCGGGUCGUAAAGCCCUGUCAGGUGGGAGGAAACAUAUCGGUGCUAAUAUCACCGAUGUUAGACGGUACCGCCGGAGGAGCACCGCA